This 269-nucleotide ribosomal RNA is filed under the name uncultured prokaryote. RNAcentral describes it as "partial 16S ribosomal RNA". It matches the Rfam family "Bacterial small subunit ribosomal RNA", at positions 524 to 792 of the family's 1533-position model. The record is from RNAcentral.
UACGGAGGAUCCGAGCGUUAUCCGGAUUUAUUGGGUUUAAAGGGUGCGCAGGCGGGAUGUUAAGUCGGCGGUGAAAUUUUGCAGCUCAACUGUAAAAGUGCCUUCGAUACUGGCUUUCUUGAGUGUGGAUGAGGUAGGCGGAAUUUGUGGUGUAGCGGUGAAAUGCUUAGAUAUCACGAGGAACUCCGAUUGCGCAGGCAGCUUACUAAACCACUACUGACGCUCAUGCACGAAGGCGUGGGGAUCAAACAGGAUUAGAUACCCCCGUA